Homo sapiens (human) is the source of this 1483-nucleotide long non-coding RNA. Ensembl annotates it as long intergenic non-protein coding RNA 1102. NCBI's taxonomy places the organism in Eukaryota, Metazoa, Chordata, Mammalia, Primates, Hominidae. The record is from Ensembl.
GGGACUGCUUUGUCUCAGCCGACAGAACCAGCAAGCCAGAAAGGGAAUGAAGACAUUUGGAGAAGAAGCGUUUACUGAAAGGAGAUUCCUGGGCUGGAGGAAAACCAUGAUCUACAGUUCAUGUUGACAGAUAUUGUAUUUUUGGUCCUAGAUCUGACUUUUGAAAUGACUUAUCACAAAUUCAAAUUUAGCAAUCAUGAGUGAAGUACCCACGAUGUGCUAAGCAUCUACCUCUGCAGAUAGAAGAACACUUACUGUUCCUGAGCAUGGGAGGGAAUAGAAGUUCCUGGGUCCUGGCCUCACCUCAUCAGGCACUGCCAAAUUUGACACCUCCUUCCUGUUCACGGCAGUCCUUUGCGAUAGGGUAUUAGAUGCCACCAAGUAGCUGCAUAACUCACCCAUUUGGUCAGAGCCUGGGUCUAAGCCAGGUCUGACAGACUCCAAAGCAAGCCCUGUUUACAGCAUGACUGGGAUCCAGUGGACGAGGGAACUGAGCUGUCAAAACUAAGUGACUUGAUUGAGGCCAUGCAGCUGGCGAGGGGAGGACCAGGAUCUGAACCCAACUGGGUCUCCCAAGCCUGGGCCACUGAACCAUUUCACCUCUUGGAAAAACUUAAUGGUCAGAGUGGCCCACCCAGUCCAUGGACAGCAUGGAGUGGUAUGGUGGAAGAGGAGGGAAGAAAACCUGUGUAUUGUAAGUCAUAUUCUUCUAUGGUGUGAAGGUUAACGUAAGUUUUAAGAAAGUUUUUUUUUUUAAUUUUAUUAUAUGAUCUUGCUCUAAAGGGAUGUAAAUUCAGAUGCUGAAUUGCACACAUCCUUUCUCUUUCAUAUUUUCAAUAUUGAACGUAAUUUCAAUAUUUAACAUAAAACAAUGAGUACAUUGUCUCCACCUCAUUGUUUUUGGGUGGUGUUUGUGAGGAGCCUGCGUUCUUUGGAAGGAAGACCUUUCAGAUGACCUGACCAGUCCUCCUCUUCAGAACCCGGAUGCUGGCGAAGCAGACUACUCCCAACGCAGGCCACCUGUCUUGAAGAUGUGUAUCUAUAGUCAGAGGGAGGAGCCAUGUGCAAGCGUUUGGCUGGAUCACUACAAAUCUAUCAUGACUCUGGGAAAUCAACCGCUGUAUGAGAUCCCGGCGAUUGAUGAGGGAACUCACUUUCAUUUAAAAGGGACAGCAAGCAUAAUUCUCAAUGCACACAUAGUCUCAAUGGAGUGGAUUUUCAUGGACUGACUCAAGGUAUACUGCUCUAAAUCCUACUGUAAGGCUUCCUCAUCAAGUUACCUACCUUCUAAUUGAGUCUCCUCAUCGGCUGAAAUGUUUACUCACAUGGAGUUAAUGACAGUGUCUGCAUUAGAGGAUUUAGUCAAGAUCAAAUUAGAUAUUGCAAUGGAGUGCUGAGGACAACAGCUGGCAUGCUUAAAAUGCUUGCUAAAUGUGUACAAGUGCACAAGUUCUGUUUUAUUAAUAAAAACCAACACCUAUGU